AACGAACGCUGGCGGCAUGCCUAACACAUGCAAGUCGAACGAAACCUCCGGGUCUAGUGGCGCACGGGUGCGUAACGCGUGGGAAUCUUCCCUUGGGUUCGGCAUAACAGUGAGAAAUUACUGCUAAUACCGGAUGAUAUCUUCGGACCAAAGAUUUAUCGCCCAGGGUUGAGCCAGCGUAGGAUUAGCUAGUUGGUGGGGUAAUAGCCUACCAAGGCGCCGAUCCUUAGCUGGUCUGAGAGGAUGCUUAGCCACACUGGGACUGAGAAACGGCCCAGACUCUUACGGGAGGCAGCAGUGGGGAAUAGUGCACAGUCGGCGCAAGGCUGAACCAGCUAGGCCGGGUGAGUGAUGAUGGCCUGAGGGAUGUAAAGCGCUUGUAACCGGGAUGAUAAUGACGGUACCGGGAGAAUAAGCUCCGGCUAACUCCGUG
RNAcentral lists this ribosomal RNA (433 nucleotides) under uncultured bacterium. RNAcentral describes it as "partial 16S ribosomal RNA". It matches the Rfam family "Bacterial small subunit ribosomal RNA", at positions 29 to 507 of the family's 1533-position model. The record is from RNAcentral.